Non-coding RNA from Salmo salar (Atlantic salmon), 1874 nucleotides. The record is from RefSeq and is a predicted model, not a curated record. NCBI's taxonomy places the organism in Eukaryota, Metazoa, Chordata, Actinopteri, Salmoniformes, Salmonidae.
GAUUCAUGGUAAUCCUGGAGCAGGAAGCUGAUGUGAUUUGGAUCUCAUAGACUUGUCUUCAGCUCUUGCCCCAUUGUGUUAAGCUAUGUCACUGAAUGGAUCAUGCAGCGAGGUUUGCACCUGUGUGAAUCUUGAACCUGUAUUCAAUGCACGGUUCAAUCUCUGUUGCUACAGCUUUGAAUAAUUCUUCCCCAGAUCUUCGUCCUUUUUUUCUGUCUUCCAACAUGACUCCUUCCUUUUACCCCAAUUUUGAAUCUCUCCCCUGCCCUUUCCUUUUCUCAUGUGUCCAUGGCUUGACGUACAUCAUGGUUGACACAGUAAGUGUAAUGAGAUGUAGUGCUCCUCCUAACAUAGUGCACGUUACAUUUGCAGGAAGAUACAUUAUAUCUAAAAAUACUUAAUUCUCUCAUUGUCCCAGAUGAGUGUUCUUCUGGAAGGGAAGGGAAGUUCAGCUGCUUGGUUGAGUCUUUUGCCGUGGUGGACUGCUGUUACCCAUAUGAGUAUCAGGGAGGACACAUUAUGGGGGCUCUGAGCCUGCCCAACACAGACGAGGCAGUGGAUAGCAUACUGUCCCAGAGGCUAAAACCCACACAUUUGAUAAGAGGCUUGUGUUGGAGCUGCACUGUGAAUUCUCCUCCGAAAGAGCACCCAGAACGUGACAUACAUACCUUUUUGUCACGUCCUCCUGUGUGUGUUUUCGUGUUCGUGUGUGUGUAUCAAAUCUGCAGAUUACAUAUUAUCUGCUUUUGACUCCUGACCAGAAAUGUGUUUUUUUCUGCAUGUAUUCCAUUUGAAAUUAAGUCGCUCCUCAUGAGAGAGUGCUUUUCUCAUUCUGUAGGUGUCGCCUCUUGCGCAGUGUGGACCACAGCAUGAACGAAUACCCAGCCCUGCACUAUCCUCAAGGGUGGCUACAUAGACUUCUCUCACCAGGAGCACUGUGAGCCCCAGUCCUACUGCCCCAUGCACCACGAAGACCACAGAAAGGAGCUGCUGCGGUGCCGCACACACAGCCGAGCCUCCGCCUAGGAGCACCGCAGACGCCACCACAUCCAAACUUUUGUCAAACUCUGAGCCAGUCGUGUCGAGGAUGGAGUCCAGGAGAAGAACAGACACUCAGAGGGACAGCUGAGUCCAAACGGUGACCUCGAGAUUGUCCGUUUAAUUAUCCUACAGGAACCUACUUGACUAUGUGAUAACAAAUUGCCCUUUUGUUGUGCUUGCUCGCUUUCCAAAUGGAACCCUUUUUCACAUGCUGUCAUGUAAACUAUGCACUAUGUCGCUGUUCACUGAUGCCUUUGUCCAUUUUGUAGUAUAUCUUAAUUACAGUAGAGACCGCAGGUCGCCUUUUCAAAUUGCUUUAAUGUAAUUUCCACAUUGCAGAGCAGAAAAUGGUGGCAUUAUUUCCAGUGUCAAUCAUGGAUGUAUGUUUUCAUUAUUAAUGGGAAUCAUGACUUAAUUUGAGCUCUUCUGAAUACCAUUUUUUUAACCAGAGUGAAUGACCUUGGAGUUUAGGUUGAAUAGUUUUUAAUGUUUUGAUUAUAUCAGGGACCUGCGCAUGAAUUAAUGCAUUAUCUAUGACAUUUAUAAUUAAAAAACACACAAAAAAACUUAACUCUUAUUUUAAUUAUAUUAUUUCAAUGGGUAUCAUAUGGCCCAUGGACAGUAAAACCAAAACAUAAAGGAGAAAAUCUUUAGAAGUAUUUUUUUAUUAGGCUUGUCCUUGUGAAUAUCCUUAGACUUUAUCCCUGCCCGUGCCACAGGUGUGUCUAGUUUGCAGCUGUGAUUCCUCCCCCAACACAGCUGGGUUAACUCUAUCCCCCUCGCUGUUAAAAAGCCCCCCUCUUCUAUGCACAGCAGCUGUAAUUGCGGAACAA